UUAAAUCUACCGGCUCAACUGGUAGUCGCACCCCCAACAGCAGCUCUUGAGUAAAGUAGAGGCAGGCGGAAUUCCUAGUGUAGCGGUGAAAUGCGUAGAUAUUAGGAGGAACACCAGUGGCGAAGGCGGCUUGCUGGGCUUUUACUGACGCUGAGGCUCGAAAGUGUGGGGAGCAAACAGGAUUAGAUACCCUGGUAGUCCACACCGUAAACGAUGAUUACUAGGUGUGGGGGGUCUGACCCCCUCCGUGCCGGAGCAAACGCAAUAAGUAAUCCACCUGGGGAGUACGGCCGCAAGGUUGAAACUCAAAGGAAUUGACGGGGGCCCGCACAAGCAGUGGAGUAUGUGGUUUAAUUCGAAGCAACGCGAAGAACCUUACCAGGUCUUGACAUCGGAUGCAUAACCUAGAGAUAGGCGAAGUCCUUCGGGACAUCCAGACAGGUGGUGCAUGGUUGUCGUCAGCUCGUGUCGUGAGAUGCUGGGUUAAGUCCCGCAACGAGCGCAACCCUUGUAUUCAGUUGCUACGCAAGAGCACUCUGGAUAGACUGCCGUUGACAAAACGGAGGAAGGUGGGGAUGACGUCAAAUCAUCAUGCCCCUUACGACCUGGGCCACACACGUACUACAAUGGCGCACAACAGAGGGAAGCAAGACAGCGAUGUGGAGCAAACCCCUAAAAUGCGUCCCAGUUCAGAUUGCAGGCUGCAACCCGCCUGCAUGAAGUCGGAAUUGCUAGUA
Molecule: ribosomal RNA, 737 nt
Filed under: uncultured bacterium
Lineage: Bacteria
Description: bacterial SSU rRNA
Rfam family: Bacterial small subunit ribosomal RNA
Source: RNAcentral